CCUACGGGAGGCAGCAGUAGGGAAUAUUGCUCAAUGGGGGAAACCCUGAAGCAGCAACGCCGCGUGGAGGAUGAAGGUUUUAGGAUUGUAAACUCCUAUGUUUGAGAAGAUUAUUACGGUAUCUUACGAAUAAGCACCGGGUAACUCCGGGCCAGCAGCCGCGGUAAUACGGCGGGUGCACGCGUUACUCGGGAUCACUGGGCGUAAAGAGUGCGUAGGCGGGGUAAUAAGUCAGAUGUGAAAUUCUGUAGCUUAACUACAGAACUGCAUUUGACACUGGUACGCUGGAGUGUGGUAGAGGUAGGUGGAAUUCUUGGGGUAGGGGUAAAAUGCGUAGAGAUCAAGAGGAAUACUGAUUGCGAAGGCGACCUGCUGGAACAUUACUGACGCUGAGGCACGAAAGCGUGGGGAGCAAACAGGAUUAGAUACCCUGGUAGUC
RNAcentral lists this ribosomal RNA (439 nucleotides) under uncultured bacterium. RNAcentral's name for it is "partial 16S ribosomal RNA". It matches the Rfam family "Bacterial small subunit ribosomal RNA", at positions 338 to 795 of the family's 1533-position model. The record is from RNAcentral.